RNAcentral lists this ribosomal RNA (781 nucleotides) under Bacillus sp. C1-1. RNAcentral's name for it is "bacterial SSU rRNA". It matches the Rfam family "Bacterial small subunit ribosomal RNA", at positions 1 to 765 of the family's 1533-position model. The record is from RNAcentral. Lineage: Bacteria; Bacillati; Bacillota; Bacilli; Caryophanales; Bacillaceae.
UUAACGGAGAGUUUGAUCCUGGCUCAGGACGAACGCUGGCGGCGUGCCUAAUACAUGCAAGUCGAGCGGACAGAAGGGAGCUUGCUCCCGGACGUUAGCGGCGGACGGGUGAGUAACACGUAGGUAACCUGCCCCUUAGACUGGGAUAACUCCGGGAAACCGGAGCUAAUACGGGAUAAUAAAGAGAAUCACCUGAUUUUCUUUUGAAAGACGGUUUCGGCUGUCACUAAGGGAUGGGCCUGCGGCGCAUUAGCUAGUUGGUAAGGUAACGGCUUACCAAGGCGACGAUGCGUAGCCGACCUGAGAGGGUGAUCGGCCACACUGGGACUGAGACACGGCCCAGACUCCUACGGGAGGCAGCAGUAGGGAAUCUUCCGCAAUGGACGAAAGUCUGACGGAGCAACGCCGCGUGAGUGAGGAAGGCCUUCGGGUCGUAAAGCUCUGUUGUGAGGGAAGAACAAGUACCGGGGUAACUACCGAUACCUUGACGGUACCUCACCAGAAAGCCACGGCUAACUACGUGCCAGCAGCCGCGGUAAUACGUAGGUGGCAAGCGUUGUCCGGAAUUAUUGGGCGUAAAGCGCGCGCAGGCGGCUUCUUAAGUCUGAUGUGAAAUCUCGGGGCUCAACCCCGAGCGGCCAUUGGAAACUGGGGAGCUUGAGUGCAGAAGAGGAGAGUGGAAUUCCACGUGUAGCGGUGAAAUGCGUAGAUAUGUGGAGGAACACCAGUGGCGAAGGCGACUCUCUGGUCUGUAACUGACGCUGAGGCGCGAAAGCGUGGG